AAUGAUUCAGUAGAUAAUCAGACUACCUUGCCAGUCGAAUUUCAUCUGGAGCAUUUCAGUGAGAUAUUUUCUCACGGAGAAUAUCAUCCUGAACUCCGAGAUUCUCUGAUCUAUACCGAAGUAGAAUUCGGUACAAUUGCAACAGUUAAAGGACCAGUUGUCCUCACAGGGUCAUCAAAGAUUCAUUCAUUGUAGAUGCCGUCGGGAAUGUGAAUUUUGGGAAUGGCUCUGUAGCAGACGGCGUGUACAGACUCACAGUACUUAUUGUUGAUUACAGGAUAAACCUAACACUGGCAAGAGGUCGCCGUGUUAAACUCUGGGAUAGUCUCGAAACUAAUGCAAUUGGAGGUCGUUAUCUGAGAGUACGCGAUAUGCAUAUCAUAUUCGACUGGUGCAUGAUGGAGCGAAAAUGUCGGAUGAAGAUUUGGAAGAUUCCAUUGUUCCAGUGUGGACUUGAUUAUCAGAACCGAGAGUCAGCAUUUAUGCAACCAGAAAACACGAGAAAUUCAGAAUUAAUUUCGAUUCAAAAUUCCGAAAAUUAACGAUUGAAAAGUAGAACGAAUGAGAGAUUCUAUUUUUCUAUG
This is a long non-coding RNA of Diachasma alloeum, 584 nucleotides long. RefSeq lists it as uncharacterized. The record is from RefSeq and is a predicted model, not a curated record. Lineage: Eukaryota; Metazoa; Arthropoda; Insecta; Hymenoptera; Braconidae. The transcript has 3 exons.